AGGACGAACGCUGGCGGCGUGCUUAACACAUGCAAGUCGAGCGACGCUCCUCCUUCGGGAGGAUGACGGAGCGGCGAACGGGUGAGUAACACGUGGGCAACCUGCCCCUAGCUCUGGGAUAACCCCGGGAAAUCGGGACUAAUACCGGAUAUGAAGUCGGACGGCAUCGUCUGACUUGGAAAGUUUUUCGGCUAGGGAUGGGCCCGCGGCCUAUCAGCUUGUUGGUGGGGUAACGGCCUACCAAGGCGACGACGGGUAGCCGGCCUGAGAGGGCGACCGGCCACACUGGGACUGAGACACGGCCCAGACUCCUACGGGAGGCAGCAGUGGGGAAUAUUGCACAAUGGGCGAAAGCCUGAUGCAGCGACGCCGCGUGAGGGAUGACUGCCUUCGGGUUGUAAACCUCUUUCAGCAGGGACGAAGCGAAAGUGACGGUACCUGCAGAAGAAGCACCGGCAACUACGUGCCAGCAGCCGC
RNAcentral lists this ribosomal RNA (477 nucleotides) under uncultured bacterium. Its description in RNAcentral is "SSU rRNA". It matches the Rfam family "Bacterial small subunit ribosomal RNA", at positions 26 to 518 of the family's 1533-position model. The record is from RNAcentral.